This 446-nucleotide ribosomal RNA is filed under the name uncultured bacterium. RNAcentral describes it as "partial 16S ribosomal RNA". It matches the Rfam family "Bacterial small subunit ribosomal RNA", at positions 338 to 795 of the family's 1533-position model. The record is from RNAcentral.
CCUACGGGAGGCUGCAGUCGAGAAUCAUUCACAAUGGGGGAAACCCUGAUGGUGCGACGCCGCGUGGGGGAAUGAAGGUCUUCGGAUUGUAAACUCCUGUCAUGUGGGAGCAAAUUAACAAGAUAGUACCACAAGAGGAAGAGACGGUUAACUCUGUGCCAGCAGCUGCGGUAAUACAGAGGUCUCAAGCGUUGUUCGGAUUCACUGGGCGUAAAGGGUGCGUAGGCGGAGUCGUAAGUCGUGUGUGAAAGGCGCGGGCUCAACCGGCGGACGGCACAUGAUACUGCGAGACUAGAGUAAUGGAGGGGGAAGCGGAAUUCUCGGUGUAGCAGUGAAAUGCGUAGAUAUCGAGAGGAACACUCGUGGCGAAGGCGGGUUCCUGGACAUUAACUGACGCUGAGGCACGAAGGCCAGGGGAGCGAAAGGGAUUAGAUACCCGGGUAGUC